This 253-nucleotide ribosomal RNA is filed under the name uncultured bacterium. RNAcentral describes it as "partial 16S ribosomal RNA". It matches the Rfam family "Bacterial small subunit ribosomal RNA", at positions 524 to 776 of the family's 1533-position model. The record is from RNAcentral.
UACGGGGGGGGCAAGCGUUGUUCGGAAUUACUGGGUGUAAAGGGUUCGUAGGCGGUGUGGCAAGUCGGGAGUGAAAUCUCUGGGCUCAACUCAGAGACUGCUUCCGAAACUGCUGUGCUGGAGUGUGGGAGAGGCGCGUGGAAUUGCAGGUGUAGCGGUGAAAUGCGUAGAUAUCUGCAGGAACACCCGUGGCGAAAGCGGCGCGCUGGACCACUACUGACGCUGAGGAACGAAAGCUAGGGGAGCAAACAGG